Molecule: long non-coding RNA, 744 nt
Organism: Cebus imitator (Panamanian white-faced capuchin)
Lineage: Eukaryota; Metazoa; Chordata; Mammalia; Primates; Cebidae
Exons: 3
Source: RefSeq, a predicted model, not a curated record
ACAGCGCGAUCUUUCUUCGCUUUGAUGCCAUGCUGGUGUGGUUCUGUGCUGGGGCCUCCUGAAUGGCGCGUGGCUGUGGCCGGGUGGCCUCCCACGCUGGGGCGCCGCGCGGGGUAACGCGGCCACCCUGAGCCUGGUGAGGCGUCUGCGGCAGCUGGACCGUGUCCGAAGUGUCCCGGGCGGUGAACGCGUGGAGGGCAGCGGCCUGGCCUUGACUACGCUUUGGUGGGAUCUCAGGAGCGCCUUAGGCGGCCUCAGGCCUGCGUUUCCGUUUCCGCAUCCCCUUGCUUGGAAACGGGGAGCUUAAUGGAUUUGAGUUUAGAUCAUCGACGGUAUGCUGUGGAAUUCUUCAUAUAAGCGAGGUUUGAUUUUCGUUAGUAAAAAGGCCUUGCCGGAUAACUGCCAUUAUGCCUGCCCCGUCCCAGUGCAAAAUAGCUUAAAAGCAGAGUGCCUGGUUACAGCUGUUUCCAAGUGCAGUACUCGGCGGGAGUGAUCACCUACCCUGCGGGUGUAAGAUGGAUGCCUGAAGUGUAGACUGCUGCUAGCUGAAUACCAUCUGGGAACACAAAGGUGACCUAAAGGACGUCCUUGGUGAGGAUUUUGAAAAUUUGAUCUUCACAAGAGUUGCUUGGAUCAUUUAAAAUUUCGAGGAGUCUGAGGAGUACUGCCAUAAUUGCCUGCUGGAGUCCGUAAAUACACAUUUAAGACAGUGAGGACAUGAAUAAAUAUAUUAAUACACUUUGA